AGUCAUACAUGUGCGUUCGCGCGGAGCAAUCCGUGAGGAAAGUCCGGACACCACAGGGCAGGAUUCCCGCCGCAAGUCGGGGCACGUCGCAAGGCGUGACGGAUAGUGCCACAGAGAAGAUACCGCCUCCUCCGCAAGGAACGAGGUAAGGGUGAAAAGGUGGGGUAAGAGCCCACCGCUCGAAGGGUAACCGACGAGGCAAGGUAAACCCAAUCCGGUGCAAGACGAACAGGGACCGUCCGAGGUCGCCCACCAAGGUCCCGGGUUGUCGCACCGCCGCAAGGCGGGUCCGCAAGGUCAGAGAAAUGAACGCGCAGGGGAUCGGCGAGAGCCGCCCAAGGACAGAAUCCGGCUUAUAGUGUAUGACUCAAA
RNAcentral lists this RNase P RNA (372 nucleotides) under Verrucomicrobiota bacterium. RNAcentral describes it as "Verrucomicrobia bacterium (freshwater metagenome) RNase P RNA component class A". It matches the Rfam family "Bacterial RNase P class A". From Rfam's summary of the family: Ribonuclease P (RNase P) is a ubiquitous endoribonuclease, found in archaea, bacteria and eukarya as well as chloroplasts and mitochondria. Its best characterised activity is the generation of mature 5'-ends of tRNAs by cleaving the 5'-leader elements of precursor-tRNAs. The record is from RNAcentral. Lineage: Bacteria; Pseudomonadati; Verrucomicrobiota.